CAGGCCUAACACAUGCAAGUCGAACGGAGAAUUUUAUUUCGGUAGAAUUCUUAGUGGCGAACGGGUGAGUAACGCGUAGGCAACCUGCCCUUUAGACGGGGACAACAUUCCGAAAGGAGUGCUAAUACCGGAUGUGAUCAUCGUGCCGCAUGGCAGGAUGAAGAAAGAUGGCCUCUACAAGUAAGCUAUCGCUAAAGGAUGGGCCUGCGUCUGAUUAGCUAGUUGGUAGUGUAACGGACUACCAAGGCGAUGAUCAGUANCCGGUCUGAGAGGAUGAACGGCCACAUUGGGACUGAGACACGGCCCAAACUCCUACGGGAGGCAGCAGUGGGGAAUCUUCCGCAAUGGACGAAAGUCUGACGGAGCAACGCCGCGUGAGUGAUGAAGGAUUUCGGUCUGU
Molecule: ribosomal RNA, 400 nt
Filed under: uncultured bacterium
Lineage: Bacteria
Description: bacterial SSU rRNA
Rfam family: Bacterial small subunit ribosomal RNA
Source: RNAcentral